CGUACACUCCUACGGGAGGCAGCAGUGGGGAAUAUUGCACAAUGGGCGCAAGCCUGAUGCAGCCAUGCCGCGUGUAUGAAGAAGGCCUUCGGGUUGUAAAGUACUUUCAGCGGGGAGGAAGGCGAUAAGGUUAAUAACCUUGUCGAUUGACGUUACCCGCAGAAGAAGCACCGGCUAACUCCGUGCCAGCAGCCGCGGUAAUACGGAGGGUGCAAGCGUUAAUCGGAAUUACUGGGCGUAAAGCGCACGCAGGCGGUCUGUCAAGUCGGAUGUGAAAUCCCCGGGCUCAACCUGGGAACUGCAUUCGAAACUGGCAGGCUAGAGUCUUGUAGAGGGGGGUAGAAUUCCAGGUGUAGCGGUGAAAUGCGUAGAGAUCUGGAGGAAUACCGGUGGCGAAGGCGGCCCCCUGGACAAAGACUGACGCUCAGGUGCGAAAGCGUGGGGAGCAAACAGGAUUAGAAACCCCUGUAGUCCCA
Molecule: ribosomal RNA, 476 nt
Filed under: uncultured organism
Description: partial 16S ribosomal RNA
Rfam family: Bacterial small subunit ribosomal RNA
Source: RNAcentral